UUUAAACGCGACUAUGAGUUUCCGUAUUUAAUUUUAAUUGUUUGUUUUAUUUGAAUUUAUGAUUAGUAUUUUUAUUGUUAUUAGAUGAUAAAACAUGAAUAAUACUUUAUACGUGAUUUAUGUAUUUUAGUUUUUUCAAAAAAAUUGAAUAAGAAGAACGAUUAAAAUUGAACAUGUAAAUUUUAUGAUUAUGCUUAAA
Molecule: non-coding RNA, 199 nt
Organism: Oryza punctata
Lineage: Eukaryota; Viridiplantae; Streptophyta; Magnoliopsida; Poales; Poaceae
Source: Rfam